This 473-nucleotide ribosomal RNA is filed under the name uncultured bacterium. RNAcentral describes it as "SSU rRNA". It matches the Rfam family "Bacterial small subunit ribosomal RNA", at positions 26 to 518 of the family's 1533-position model. The record is from RNAcentral.
AGGACGAACGCUGGCGGCGUGCUUAACACAUGCAAGUCGAGCGGAAAGGCCCUUCGGGGUACUCGAGCGGCGAACGGGUGAGUAACACGUGAGUAAUCUGCCCCUAGCUCUGGGAUAGCUCCGGGAAACCGGGAUUAAUACCGGAUACGACCACUUUAGACAUCUGUUGUGGUGGAAAGAAUUUUGGCUAGGGAUGAGCUCGCGGCCUAUCAGCUUGUUGGUGGGGUAACGCCUACCAAGGCGACGACGGGUAGCCGGCCUGAGAGGGCGACCGGCCACACUGGGACUGAGACACGGCCCAGACUCCUACGGGAGGCAGCAGUGGGGAAUAUUGCGCAAUGGGCGAAAGCCUGACGCAGCGACGCCGCGUGGGGGAUGAAGGCCUUCGGGUUGUAAACCCCUUUCAGCAGGGACGAAGCGAAAGUGACGGUACCUGCAGAAGAAGCGCCGGCUAACUACGUGCCAGCAGCCGC